This is a long non-coding RNA of Hippopotamus amphibius kiboko, 798 nucleotides long. RefSeq lists it as uncharacterized. Lineage: Eukaryota; Metazoa; Chordata; Mammalia; Artiodactyla; Hippopotamidae. The record is from RefSeq and is a predicted model, not a curated record. The transcript is spliced from 3 exons.
AAUUGCAGGGAAGAAAUACAGAUGACAUGCAUGUGGAAUGGGAUGCUACGUAGUUUAUGAAGAUGACACACUGGCAUGUGAAAGGUUUCUGGGCGCGACCCACUCGUUGCAGUACCAAGAGUUUUGUUUAUUUACAGUGUGUCACUGAAAGAAAGCCGGAAAGCUUCAACUGGACGCUUACGUUAAUAACAGUGAGGAGAAAGGAGGGUACACGCAAACGAACAUCUGGAUACGCAGAUCGCCGUCUGGGCCCCCGGGGCAGUGGACCAAACCCAGGUCACUCCCCCCUCCUACCGUCCUUCCAUCUGCGCACAAAGAACGGGCAGCUUUAGGGAUUCCAGUGAGCAGUGACGGGAGCAUGAGAGAGCAUCCAAAGAAGGAGAAAUCACGGGGAUAAAUUUUCACACAGAGUUCCUCUUGCUCAUGGGGUGCCGCAAGCAGAGGCCUUGCACCGGCACUUCAGUCCAGGGUUCCUGUUGCGAAACAGCUGCGUCCCACACCUCAGCUCCGGGCCGUGUACAGACGCGCUGAGCCUGACACCUAAAUCCAAGAUGGCGGCGGCGGCAGCGGCGGGCCGUGUGCAAAGAGGCUGCACCCGGCACUGAUCCGGGUGAAUGCCAGGAGCAGCACAGCCGCGCCUGCCCAGUGAGAACUCUGCCCCCCAACCCCUCCACGAGACCCCCUCCACGAGAUCCCCAUAAAGCAACCACGCCCCGGGGCCUGUGGGCCUCUUGCCGAGAGCCAGUGCUGCAGAGCUGAGCUCACACCUCUCCAUUCUCUAAUCGAAGAAUAAAGCUU